AACAUGGUCUUUUGUGUUAAAUAAAAGAUCUGGCCUGCCCAAUGAUUAGUUUUAAUGGCUGCAGUAUAUUGACUGUACAAAGGUAGCAUAAUCAUUUGUCUUUUAAUUGAAGUCUGGAAUGAAUGGUUGGAUGAGAAAUUGACUUUCUUUAUUUUAUAUAUAAAAUUUAAUUUUUAAAUUAAAAAGUUUAAAUGUUAAUAUAGGACGAGAAGACCCUAUAGAAUUUUAUUCUCCUUAUUUUUAAGAAUUUAUUUUGUAAAUGAUUUUUUUUAAUUUUUGGGGAAUUUUGUUGGGGUGACAGAAAAAAAUGAAUAACUUUUUUUAUUUGUCUCAUUUAUGUAUGAUUAUUUGAUCCUUUAUUAUGGAAAUUAAGAUUAAAUUACCUUAGGGAUAACAGCGUUAUUAUUUUAGAGAGUUCAUAUUGAUAAAAUAGUUUGCGACCUCGAUGUUGGAUUAAAAUUAGUUUUGGGGGUAUAAGAUUAAGUGACUAGGUCUGUUCGACCUUUAAAUUUUUACAUGAUCU
This 523-nucleotide ribosomal RNA is filed under the name Adunatiphylus sp. Msp232. RNAcentral's name for it is "partial large subunit ribosomal RNA". It matches the Rfam family "Bacterial large subunit ribosomal RNA", at positions 1812 to 2606 of the family's 2925-position model. Lineage: Eukaryota; Metazoa; Arthropoda; Insecta; Hemiptera; Miridae. The record is from RNAcentral.